GCAUCGAUGAAGAACGUAGCGAAAUGCGAUACCUGGUGUGAAUUGCAGAAUCCCGCGAACCAUCGAGUCUUUGAACGCAAGUUGCGCCCGAGGCCACUCGGCCGAGGGCACGCCUGCCUGGGCGUCA
RNAcentral lists this ribosomal RNA (127 nucleotides) under Triticum aestivum (bread wheat). RNAcentral describes it as "rRNA 5_8S_rRNA". It matches the Rfam family "5.8S ribosomal RNA", at positions 30 to 154 of the family's 154-position model. Rfam says of the family: 5.8S ribosomal RNA (5.8S rRNA) is a component of the large subunit of the eukaryotic ribosome. It is transcribed by RNA polymerase I as part of the 45S precursor that also contains 18S and 28S rRNA. Lineage: Eukaryota; Viridiplantae; Streptophyta; Magnoliopsida; Poales; Poaceae. The record is from Rfam by way of RNAcentral.